AUGCAUCAUGCGGGGUCCCCUCUGGGUCUUCUUGCUCUGGGUGCUGAGAUGGGUGCUGGAGACACCCAGGAUGGGUGUCAGGGCCACCCCUGUGGGUCAAGCACUGACUGGGGUGCCCUGAGCUGUGGGUGCUGGGCUGUGGAGGGACAUCGUUUAAUGGUCUCUCUCUGGCAGGUGUUCCCGGGGUUGGAGUCCCAGGGGUUGGCGGCAUCCCAGGUGGCCUUGGAGUUGGUGGCCUUGGAGUCGGUGGCCUUGGAGUCGGUGGGCUCGGUGCUGGAAUCUUAUAUCCAGGAGCUGCUGGGAAACCUCCCAAGCCAGGUUUUGGUGUUGGGGGGCUGCAGCCAGGGGCUGGAGUUCCCGGCUUUGGCGUGUCACCGAUAUUUCCAGGUACCGUCCCCAGCCCAGUGCCUCGGCACGUACCCGGGGAACAUCUCGGUGCCUGGCUGGCUCACGGGGACAUGCAGAGCCCACGGGGCACGGGGACACGGCCAUGGCGUGGGGAGGGAUCCAGGGGACCGGUCUGAGCCAGGGGUUGCUUGGCUGGGGCGUGCGGGGCACAGCAACAUGGGUGCCCAGUGGGUGCUGAGGGCUUCGCUCUCCUUUCAGGUGGGGUUGCCGGCCAGCUGGGAUUCGCUGGUGAGUGUCCAUCCUCCCAGGGGAGCAUUUUUGGGGUGUUGGGGGGGGGUAUCCAUAUCCCCCCUGCACCCAGUGGCCAAGUGA
RNAcentral lists this long non-coding RNA (720 nucleotides) under Calidris pygmaea (Spoon-billed sandpiper). RNAcentral's name for it is "lncRNA (ENSCPGG00000005663.1)". The record is from RNAcentral. Lineage: Eukaryota; Metazoa; Chordata; Aves; Charadriiformes; Scolopacidae.